This 222-nucleotide long non-coding RNA is filed under the name Elaeis guineensis (African oil palm). RNAcentral describes it as "long non-coding RNA (EGUI_LNC071748)". The record is from RNAcentral. Lineage: Eukaryota; Viridiplantae; Streptophyta; Magnoliopsida; Arecales; Arecaceae.
ACUCUCCAGACUGGUGACUUCAGCUUUUGACUCUUUGGGUCGGACGUUCGUGGAGAACCUCAAGCAGCCGAGUGUCGACCGGGUCGACGAGGUGCUACAACUGACGGCCGAACCAAGUUGGAUGGACCCGAUCGUUCGGUAUUUGACCGACGGGAUCAGCCCCGAGGAUCCCACGGAGGCCAAGCGGCUCCGAUGGUCGGCCUCCCAAUAUGUGAUCAUGGA